RNAcentral lists this unclassified non-coding RNA (765 nucleotides) under Madracis kirbyi. Its description in RNAcentral is "sequence contains ITS1, 5.8S rRNA gene and ITS2". The stretch from base 359 to 512 matches the Rfam family "5.8S ribosomal RNA". Lineage: Eukaryota; Metazoa; Cnidaria; Anthozoa; Scleractinia; Pocilloporidae. The record is from RNAcentral.
ACUGGCGCCGACACUCUGGCGACAGAGAGUCGGAUGCCGGAAAGUUGGUCAAACUUGAUCAUUUAGAGGAAGUAAAAGUCGUAACAAGGUUUCCGUAGGUGAACCUGCGGAAGGAUCAUUACCGAUACGUGUCCAAAUCAAGUCUUUGACUUGUACCGUGUGAACUCGAGCAAACUUUUAGGGGUCGGCAAGUCCGUUAAAUGGCGGUCGGACGCAGGGCUGCUGAGCUUCUGCGGCCGCCCGUCCAGCCCCGCCAGUGUUUUUUUUUAACCAACAUGCUUGACAGAGUCUGAAGGCUGCGCUCGUGUGCGGCGCGGGUUUGCGCCCCGCCGCGCAGAGCGAGACGAAAAAGAUUGACAACUUUUGACGGUGGAUCUCUUGGCUCACGCAUCGAUGAAGAACGCAGCCAGCUGCGAUAAGUAGUGUGAAUUGCAGAAUUCAGUGAAUCAUCGAAUCUUUGAACGCAAAUGGCGCUCUUGGGUUCUCCCAGGAGCAUGUCUGUCUGAGUGUCGGAUAUCACCCAUCGCACUUGAGUGUGCGGAGUUGAGGCGUCACGGCCGCCGGCUGUUGCGGGCAGGCCGUGUCCCUCGAAAGGCAGAGAGACCCGCCGUGACUGGGGCUUCUUCCCGGCACACCAGCGGAGGCUAAAACUCGUUUUGCCCUUCGCGUGCCCGGCGAAGACCUCGGUCGCACCCGGGUCGUAGGCGAACUGGAAGAGACACAAACACAUCUUGACCUCAGAUCAGGCAAGGCUACCCGCUGAAU